UACUACGUUUGAUAGCCGAAUCCAGGUCUCAAAAUGAUGAUUAGAUUAGACUAACGUUAGAAGAUCUUUUCGAUUGAAACUCGAUCACUGAAAUUAGAUCUUACGUUGAGAUUAUAUUACACGUUACUAUUGCUAUCUCGUUCAUCAGAACAAAAUUUUACGCGUUCGAUCCUCAUUGUUUUUAUUACGAGUAUGACAUUCUUGUCGAGAUAUAAUUUCAAGUAUUUCGUCAUACGAAAGGUACAAUAAUCAUACAAUUCUGUCAAUUACGUUUUUUGUAUUGCAAUCGUGAACGAUGCUCGUAAACAUUUAGCGUUUUAGCCAAGAUAAAUUCGGUCUGCGGAAAUUUGAGAUAAUAUCGUAUUUACGUUGCAUAGUGCGUCGAAUCUGGAUCGAACGAUAACUCGUAAAUUAAGUCUAUUAUCUAAAGUUUAUGAGAAAAUAUAAAUCUAACCGGUAUAAUGCAAAAAUUAGUACCGAUAAAAUGCAACGGGCUAUUGCAGUAACCGACGACAAGAAUCGUCGACAGCCAAUCGAAAAGCACGUAGACUCGGGACUCUGCGAAUGUUCCAACUUUAGAUUCGGACGAUGUGGGAUCGAGAGAGAGAGAGAGAGAGAGAGAGAGAGAGAGAGAGAGAGAGAGAGAGAGAGGGGUGCAUUCAAUGUUAACGAGUUACAUUUGUUUAUCUGCUAGCACAUUUAGCUGCCUGCGAGAGUGGAAACAGUGUGUAGGCAUGUAAACGUGGUAAAGAUAUAAAUGUAUAUCUAUACAGUACGAAGGUGGUUGAUUCGAAUCAUACCUGUCUCCCUUGCAAAGACCAGAAUCUUCAACGGCCCAAUCGACAUAAAGGCCAGGCAUCUCGUCUCUUGGUCCAGCACCGAAACGAGGACUCUUUGGAUCGGCACUGACUUCGACGGCAUGUACGGUGACUUGCGUUGACCCGGAAAUACAGCUAAGAUGAUAGAUUUGUAAUAAGCAUGACAAAUAAAACUCGAAGUGGUCUAAA
Long non-coding RNA from Vespa mandarinia (Asian giant hornet), 1007 nucleotides. Lineage: Eukaryota; Metazoa; Arthropoda; Insecta; Hymenoptera; Vespidae. The record is from RefSeq and is a predicted model, not a curated record.